CAGCAAGCAUGAAUGGAGAGGAGACAGCGUGUUAAGGGAACUGGCAUUUCAGCCUGAAUUUGGCCCCACGCUGAGAGCUUUUACCUCUGAUGGGAAAGAUAUUCCUAGGCGCCAAACUAAGAGGCUAAGGUAUAAAGGGGCUUAUUACAACAAGAUGGCAGGAGGUAAAAUAAAAUGCAAUACAAUGUUAAAAGUACAAUGAGGAAAAUAUAAUUAAAAAUACAAUGUAAAAAAUGGCAUGGAUCCACGCUGUUACAAAUAGUGAUAAAGGAAUGUAAAAAUACAUUUACCUCUGAGGAGUUCCUACAGCUGCAAACCGGACAUGACACAGUAACCUCUCGGCAGGAGGUGUAAUGAAGAAUAGAGCAGUCCCACAUUAGACGGUUUGCGCAAGUGAAGGAAAGCAAUCCAAGUAAAAAUUCUGAUUCAAUGUUUACUAUUACAUCAUUGAAACUCCCUUUAUGAAAGAAAAUGCACAUGUGCAAUGCUGUGGAUGAACACAAGGUUGUAAAAGAAUAAAUCCUAACAUAUUGAAACCAGCGAGCCCUGCGGCACAAUGAAUGAUUGGCUGAUAGAUGGAAAUGUCACUAGACCAAAAUCACAUCUAACAUGGGGGGCGGAGCCAACAGCCGAUCAUGAUGGCCGCAUUAUACUG
Molecule: long non-coding RNA, 655 nt
Organism: Bombina bombina (fire-bellied toad)
Lineage: Eukaryota; Metazoa; Chordata; Amphibia; Anura; Bombinatoridae
Exons: 3
Source: RefSeq, a predicted model, not a curated record